AGUGCUGUGAGUUGAGGAACU
Molecule: microRNA, 21 nt
Filed under: Octopus vulgaris (common octopus)
Lineage: Eukaryota; Metazoa; Mollusca; Cephalopoda; Octopoda; Octopodidae
Also listed under: 1 other name
Description: Ovu-Mir-12581_5p (mature (guide))
Source: RNAcentral